This 273-nucleotide ribosomal RNA is filed under the name Pseudomonas sp. RNAcentral's name for it is "partial 16S ribosomal RNA". It matches the Rfam family "Bacterial small subunit ribosomal RNA", at positions 776 to 1050 of the family's 1533-position model. The record is from RNAcentral. Lineage: Bacteria; Pseudomonadati; Pseudomonadota; Gammaproteobacteria; Pseudomonadales; Pseudomonadaceae.
GAUUAGANNCCUGGUAGUCCCGCCGUAAACGAUGUCAACUAGCCGUUGGGAGCCUUGAGCUCUUAGUGGCGCAGCUAACGCAUUAAGUUGACCGCCUGGGGAGUACGGCCGCAAGGUUAAAACUCAAAUGAAUUGACGGGGGCCCGCACAAGCGGUGGAGCAUGUGGUUUAAUUCGAAGCAACGCGAAGAACCUUACCAGGCCUUGACAUCCAAUGAACUUUCUAGAGAUAGAUUGGUGCCUUCGGGAACAUUGAGACAGGUGCUGCAUGGCU